RNAcentral lists this ribosomal RNA (420 nucleotides) under Fusobacteriota bacterium. Its description in RNAcentral is "Fusobacteria bacterium partial 16S ribosomal RNA". It matches the Rfam family "Bacterial small subunit ribosomal RNA", at positions 355 to 776 of the family's 1533-position model. Lineage: Bacteria; Fusobacteriati; Fusobacteriota. The record is from RNAcentral.
UGGGGGAUAUUGCACAAUGGGCGAAAGCCUGAUGCAGCGACGCCGCGUGGGGGAUGAAGGCCUUCGGGUUGUAAACUUCUUUUGCCCUGAACAAGGCAUGCCUUUGGGGUGUGUUGAGUGUAGGGGUUGAUUAGCGCCGGCUAACUACGUGCCAGCAGCCGCGGUAAUACGGAGGGCGCGAGCGUUUUCCGGAAUUAUUGGGCGUAAAGGGCUUGUAGGUGGCUGGUUGCGUCUGUCGUGAAAGCUCAUGGCUUAACUGUGGGUUUGCGGUGGGUACGGGCUGGCUUGAGUUCAGUAGGGGAGGCUGGAAGUCCUGGUGUAGAGGGGGAAUGCGCAGAUAUGAGGAGGAAUACCGGAGGAGAAGGCGGGUCUCUGGGCUGUUACUGACGCUGAGGAGCGAAAGCGUGGGGAGCGAACAGG